Molecule: ribosomal RNA, 800 nt
Filed under: uncultured bacterium
Lineage: Bacteria
Description: bacterial SSU rRNA
Rfam family: Bacterial small subunit ribosomal RNA
Source: RNAcentral
AGAGUUUGAUCAUGGCUCAGGAUGAACGCUGGCGGCGUGCCUAACACAUGCAAGUCGAACGGAGUUAUGAUGAAACCUAGUGAUUCAUAACUUAGUGGCGGACGGGUGAGUAACGUGUGGGUAACCUGCUGUAUACAGGGGGAUAACACUUAGAAAUAGGUGCUAAAACCGCAUAAGCGCACAGGAUCGCAUGAUCCGGUGUGAAAAACUCCGGUGGUAUACGAUGGACCCGCAUCUGAUUAGCUGGUUGGUGAGGUAACGGCCCACCAAGGCGACGAUCAGUAGCCGGCCUGAGAGGGUGAACGGCCACAUUGGGACUGAGACACGGCCCAAACUCCUACGGGAGGCAGCAGUGGGGAAUAUUGCACAAUGGGGGAAACCCUGAUGCAGCAACGCCGCGUGAGUGAAGAAGUAUUUCGGUAUGUAAAGCUCUAUCAGCAGGGAAGAAAAUGACGGUACCUGACUAAGAAGCCCCGGCUAACUACGUGCCAGCAGCCGCGGUAAUACGUAGGGGGCAAGCGUUAUCCGGAUUUACUGGGUGUAAAGGGAGCGUAGACGGUUAAGCAAGUCUGAAGUGAAAUGCCGGGGCUCAACCCCGGAACUGCUUUGGAAACUGUUAAACUGGAGUGCAGGAGAGGUAAGUGGAAUUCCUAGUGUAGCGGUGAAAUGCGUAGAUAUUAGGAGGAACACCAGUGGCGAAGGCGGCUUACUGGACUGUAACUGACGUUGAGGCUCGAAAGCGUGGGGAGCAAACAGGAUUAGAUACCCUGGUAGUCCACGCCGUAAACGAUGAUUACUAG